This is a non-coding RNA of Xyrichtys novacula (pearly razorfish), 3896 nucleotides long. Lineage: Eukaryota; Metazoa; Chordata; Actinopteri; Labriformes; Labridae. The record is from the annotation of a GenBank genome assembly.
AGAGGAGGAUCUACACAAGUUUUUUACAUCAUGUUUUACAUCAUGCAUCAUUUACAUCAUGUUUUUUUGUAGUGGCAUAAAUAAAAAGUGACAUUUGUGAGACUAUACAGUGUUUUGUAAAUAAUUUUACAAAGAACACCUGGGCCAUUGCCUGCAUUUUGAUGUCAAUAGAGGUAAAUUACUAUGUUCUUUGUUAAAAAUUUGCAUAUGUUUUGAAGUUUACAAUUUUUAUUUGAAGUUUAAGUUUUAAAAACAGUUCAUCACACAUAUUUGUGGUUUUCACAGUAAAAACGUUACUUUUUUCCACUCGGAUUUUAUGUUUUGUGUGUGAAUUUGGGUCCAAUGUGUAAAUAUAGUAUGUCAAAAUGAUAAAAUAACUGUAAAUUGACACAGGUGAGGUUGUGCUGAAAAAAAUGAUACCAGGCAAGGCAAGGUAAAAAUUUUGUAAGAGGAAAUAUAAAGGUAAAAUCUAAAGUAGUCAAAAACGGCCAAUAGUGACUCACAGACUCCACAGACAAGUCCCUUUGCCGCCACUCAGUGGGCAAAACUACUUUGUCUACUGUAAUGUAUAUUUGGGUCAUCUUUGGCGCCCCCUAAAACGUAAACCGUGGGGUGCAGCGUCAUGAUUUUUACAACUUUGAAUGGCCAUGGAGUGUAGAUUGGCCUGAGCAAAUUUGGUGUCAGUGGGACGAAAGCCUUAGGAGGAGUUAGCGAAAUUCCAAUGUGUGCGAAUCGGCAAAAAAUGCAAAAUAGCCCUUUUACCGUACAUUAUACAGAUACACGCUCUUUGACUUUUUCGUAGAUCUAAUUGAGAUACACAUGAUUGUCAAUUUUUGUGUCAUUUUGCCAAAGCGUACAGGCGUGACAGUCAACAAUGUGUAUUUUCACCUUAGGGGACAAGAAAAAAUGGACUUUUUUCUCCUGCCAUGGGGGGGCGCUCUUUUGGGGAGUAAAAAUUCCUUCACAAAUGUGUUGAUGGCUGGACAUUGCAUCAUCCUAGAAAACUUGGAGGCCAGUGAGGACAAAAAUAAAAAGUUAUAAGACUUUUAAAAAUGUGGAUUUUUGGGUUAUCUUUGGCGCCCCCUAGAACGUAAACCGUGGGGUGCAGCGUCAUGAUUUGAAUAACUUUUAAUGGCCAUGGGGUGUAGAUUGGCCUGAGCAAAUGUGGUGCCGGUGGAACGAAAGCCUUCGGAGGAGUUAGCGAAAUUCCAAUGUGUGCGAAUCGGCAAAAAAUGCGGAAUAACCCUUUAACCGUACAUUAGACAGAUACGCGCGCAUGGACUUUUUUGUAGAUCUUAUUGAGAUACAUGUGUGUGUCAAUUUUUGUGUCAUUUUGACAAAGCGUACAGGCGUGACACUCAACAAUGUGUAUUUUCACCUUAGGGGACAAGAAAAAAAUGGACUUUUUUCUCCUGCCAUGGGGGGGCGCUCUUUUGGGGAGUAAAAAUUCCUUCACAAAUGUGUUGAUGGCUGGACAUUGCAUCAUCCUAGAAAACUUGGAGGCCAGUGAGGGCAAAAAUAAAAAGUUAUAAGACUUUUAAAAAUGUGGAUUUUAGGGUUAUCUUUGGCGCCCCCUAGAACCUAAACCGUGGGGUGCAGCGUCAUGAUUUGAAUAAAUUUUAAUGGCCAUGGGGUGUAGAUUGGCCUGAGCAAAUGUGGUGCCGGUGGAACGAAAGCCUUCGGAGGAGUUAGUGAAAUUCCAAUGUGUGCGGAUCGGCAAAAAAUGCGAAAUAACCCUUUAACCGUACAUUUGACAGAUACGCCCGCGCUGACUUUUUUGUAGAUCUUAUUGAGAUACAUGUGUGUGUCAAUUUUUGUGUCAUUUUGACAAAGCGUACAGGCGUGACAGUCAAUAGUGUGAAUUUUCACCUUAGGGGGCGCUAUGGAGCCAUUUUGCAUUUUCUUGUUUGGGCGACUUUGGAAUAUCAAAUUUUUCACCAGGCCCGGUCGUCCUGCCAAAUUUCCUGAGUUUUCGCCAGUGGGAAGUGGGCCAUUUUCCAGUUCAAAGGGGAGGAAAAAGAAGAAAGAAAGAAACUAGGGCCCCGUUGGGGCACUGGCGGGCCCGAGCCGUGUCGCGCUGCCCCCCCCAACGCGCUGCCUCCCCGUCCCAUUCGCGUCCUCUGGCCAUCGUCCUCUCUGGUAACGCCCAUCACUGCAAAGACCCUUUCCUUCAUCGGCGUUUGCUGUUCUUCCUGCCAGUGCGUGUUGCUUUCACUUACACUUGCCACAGCCAGCCUCGUGAGUGCCUAGCCUAUUGGAUAUCACUGUCAUCUACACAGGACAGUCAUAACCUUUCUAUUAAUACUUUGUUUUUUAAUUUCACAUUAAUUUCCAUAUUGUAUAAAUGACUGGAAAAAACUUGAGCCCCUGCCCCUGUAUAAUCAUGUGCACGUCCCUGUUCUAGCUCCAAGGUGAAUCUUCACUGCUCAUGUUCUCCUCAGAAAUAGUCACCUCACUCCCCUCAGGUUACUGUACACAUGCACCAACUAUCUGCUUCAGGUUUGGAUGGAGCUUCAUGGUUGUCUUUUGGAGAAAUGACCAGUCAAGUUGUGUUUGAAAUUUGAUUUUUUUCAGGGGCAAAAGGAAGCCUCUGCAUUCUUGUCAAAUAUGUAAACAGCAUGUUUUUGCAGGUGCUAAAAAACAGACUCUGAGUGUGUGUGUGUGUGUGUGUGUGUGUGUGUGUGUGUGUGUGUUGGCGUGUGUGUACAUGUGUGUGUAUCCUGCAGUACUCUGUACUCCUGCAGUGGCCAAAAAGACUUUUAAGAAUGUGGAUUUUUGGGUCAUCUUUGGCGCCCCCUAGAACUGCAGUACUCUGUACUCCUGCAGUGGCCAAAAUGACUUUUAAGAAUGUGGAUUUUUGGGUCAUCUUUGGCGCCCCCUAGAACGUAAACCGUGGGGUGCAGCGUCAUGAUUUUUACAACUUUGAAUGGGCAUGGGGUGUAGAUUGCCCUGAGCAAAUUUGGUAUCAGUGGGACGAAAGCCUUAGGAGGAGAUAGCCACAUUCCAAUGUGUGCGAAUCGGCAAAAAAUGCGAAAUAGCCCUUUAACCGUACAUUAUACAGAUACGCGCUCUUUGACUUUUUCGUAGAUCUAAUUGAGAUACACAUGAUUGUCAAUUUUUGUGUCAAUAUGACAAAGCGUUCAGGCGUGACACUCAACAAUGUGUAUUUUCAUGUAAGGGGACAAGAAAAAAUUGACUUUUUUCUCCUGCCAUGGGGGGCGCUCUUUUGGGGAGUAAAAAUUCCUUCACAAAUGUGUUGAUGGCUGGACAUUGCAUCAUCCUAGAAAACUUGGAGGGCAGUGAGGACAAAAAUAAAAAGUUAUAAGACUUUUAAGAAUGUGGAUUUUUGGGUUAUCUUUGGCGCCCCCUAGAACCUAAACCGUGGGGUGCAGCGUCAUGAUUUGUACAACUUUUAAUGGCCAUGGGGUGUAGACUGGCCUGAGCAAAUGUGGUGCCGGUGGAACGAAAGCCUUCGGAGGAGUUAGCGAAAUUCCAAUGUGUGCGGAUCGGCAAAAAAUGCGAAAUAACCCUUUAACCGUACAUUUGACAGAUACGCCCGCACUGACUUUUUUGUAGAUCUUAUUGAGAUACAUAUGUGUGUCAAUUUUUGUGUCAAUAUGACAAAACGUACAGACGUGACAGUCAAUAGUGUGAAUUUCCACCUUAGGGGGCGCUAUGGAGCCAUUUUGCAUUUUCUUGUUUGGGCGACUACAAAAUAUCGAAUUUUUCACCAGGCCCGGUCGUCCUGCCAAAUUUCAUGAGUUUUCGCCAGUGGGAAGUGGGCCAUUUUCCAGUUUAAAGCGGAGGAAAAAUAACUAGGGCCCCGUUGGGGCACUGGCGGGCCCGAGCCGUGUCGCGCCGCCCCCAGCGCGACCGCCUACCCCUCCCGAUCGCGU